Molecule: long non-coding RNA, 771 nt
Organism: Helicoverpa armigera (cotton bollworm)
Lineage: Eukaryota; Metazoa; Arthropoda; Insecta; Lepidoptera; Noctuidae
Exons: 2
Source: RefSeq, a predicted model, not a curated record
UGCGUCAUCGUGGAAGAACAAAGAACGUCUUACUUUCUAAAUAAUCCUCAAGAUACAGCAUUUUGUUCCAAAAAUGAUCCGAAGACCUUUGACGGAAAUAACUUUAAAAUUGGAUGAUUUGCAAGAAUACGAAGCUUUUCGAAGAGAACAAGGAAAUAAUUCCUCCACAGCUUCCGAAAUGCAGGAAGAUACCCCAAAACCCUUAGACACUCUCAAGACGAUCGAAGAAAUACACAAAAGAAUUGGAUAUGCUCCAAAGAAAAAACUCAGCGGCCCAAGCACCGUUUGAUUGAUAUGUAUUUAGAAACAUUGAAACAACUAUUGGUAAAUUCAUUUUUUAUUUGCACAUGAUAUUUAAAAAUAAGAUUCUCAAAUUUUGCUACGACGACAUCAUGACCUUAGCAACUAUGCAACAGUUAAUAUUAAAAAUCUGUGAGUUAGAGAGCAAAGUUGUACUUAUGUGCGUGAAUUACAAUAAUAAUUGCACUUUUCGUAAGUUUAAGUUAUAAAGCAUAUAUUAAUAAGAAUCGAUAAACACUUUUUCGUAGUUUUCUUUUUUGCCAUUAUUCGCUGUACGGAUGCAUCACUUUAUUGGGGCUCGGGCCGGGAACUGUGUCGUUUUUCGUGAAAUCAAUACGUCGCUUCUUGUUACGCCGACGCCAAAGGACACAGCAUAAUCUGUAAACAGAAGUCUGAGUAAGUAUUUAUGGCCUAGGUUAAAAAGACUGAAGAAGGUUUCACUUCGGAAUUACCAAAAUAUUCAAAAGAGUU